CACGCCGUAAACGAUGUCUACUAGUCGUUGGGUCCCUUGAGGACUUAGUGACGCAGCUAACGCAAUAAGUAGACCGCCUGGGGAGUACGGCCGCAAGGUUAAAACUCAAAUGAAUUGACGGGGGCCCGCACAAGCGGUGGAGCAUGUGGUUUAAUUCGAUGCAACGCGAAGAACCUUACCUGGUCUUGACAUAUCUAGAAUCCUGCAGAGAUGCGGGAGUGCCUUCGGGAAUUAGAAUACAGGUGC
Molecule: ribosomal RNA, 246 nt
Filed under: uncultured Psychrobacter sp.
Lineage: Bacteria; Pseudomonadati; Pseudomonadota; Gammaproteobacteria; Moraxellales; Moraxellaceae
Description: partial 16S ribosomal RNA
Rfam family: Bacterial small subunit ribosomal RNA
Source: RNAcentral